UGCCCCAUGGCUGAGUUGGUUACAGCGUCCGACUGUUAAUUUCAAGCAAUCGGAAGGUCGUGAGUUCGAGCCUCACUGGGGCAG
Molecule: transfer RNA, 84 nt
Filed under: Peniophora sp. CONT
Lineage: Eukaryota; Fungi; Basidiomycota; Agaricomycetes; Russulales; Peniophoraceae
Rfam family: tRNA
About the family: Transfer RNA (tRNA) molecules are approximately 80 nucleotides in length. Their secondary structure includes four short double-helical elements and three loops (D, anti-codon, and T loops).
Source: Rfam by way of RNAcentral